GACGAAGGGGGCUAGCGUUGUUCGGAAUUACUGGGCGUAAAGCGCGUGUAGGCGGUUGUCCAAGUUGGAUGUGAAAGCCUUGAGCUUAACUCAAGAAAUGCAUUCAGGACUGGAUGACUAGAGGACCGGAGAGGAUAGUGGAAUUCCCAGUGUAGUGGUGAAAUGCGUAGAGAUCAGGAGGAACACCGGGGGCGAAGGCGGCCCGCUGGCGCGGCACUGGCGCUGAGGCGCGAAAGCGUGGGGAGCGAACGGG
RNAcentral lists this ribosomal RNA (253 nucleotides) under uncultured bacterium. RNAcentral's name for it is "partial 16S ribosomal RNA". It matches the Rfam family "Bacterial small subunit ribosomal RNA", at positions 524 to 776 of the family's 1533-position model. The record is from RNAcentral.